RNAcentral lists this ribosomal RNA (497 nucleotides) under uncultured bacterium. RNAcentral describes it as "partial 16S ribosomal RNA". It matches the Rfam family "Bacterial small subunit ribosomal RNA", at positions 28 to 507 of the family's 1533-position model. The record is from RNAcentral.
GAUGAACGCUGGCAGCGUGCCUAAUACAUGCAAGUCGAGCGAACAGAUGAGGAGCUUGCUCCUCUGACGUUAGCGGCGGACGGGUGAGUAACACGUGGAUAACCUACCUAUAAGACUGGGAUAACUUCGGGAAACCGGAGCUAAUACCGGAUAAUAUAUUGAACCGCAUGGUUCAAUAGUGAAAGACGGUUUUGCUGUCACUUAUAGAUGGAUCCGCGCCGCAUUAGCUAGUUGGUAAGGUAACGGCUUACCAAGGCAACGAUGCGUAGCCGACCUGAGAGGGUGAUCGGCCACACUGGAACUGAGCCACGGUCCAGACUCCUACGGGAGGCAGCAGUAGGGAAUCUUCCGCAAUGGGCGAAAGCCUGACGGAGCAACGCCGCGUGAGUGAUGAAGGUCUUCGGAUCGUAAAACUCUGUUAUUAGGGAAGAACAAAUGUGUAAGUAACUAUGCACGUCUUGACGGUACCUAAUCAGAAAGCCACGGCUAACUACGUG